Molecule: long non-coding RNA, 2053 nt
Organism: Centruroides sculpturatus (bark scorpion)
Lineage: Eukaryota; Metazoa; Arthropoda; Arachnida; Scorpiones; Buthidae
Exons: 3
Source: RefSeq, a predicted model, not a curated record
CGUUGUCGAUUGUUGGAACCAAUAUAAAAUUUCGUGAUAAGAUUGCCACACCUUACGGGUGAAUACAAAUUUUAUUAUACAAUGCUGCUUUAAUUAAAGCAGCCAACUCCUUAUUUUAUAAAUUGCGAAACUGAUCCAAUUUUGAAUUGAUGACGUCAUUAUGAUAAUUAACAAAUUUAUUAGAAAAGCAAGAAAAAAAAAAAAAAAUACAUGUAAAUCGAUAUUUACGGCAUUAUCAUUUAAUUCGAAAUAUACUUGGAAAAAAAUUUUCAUUUUAAAAUUUCUAUUUAAAUCUCUCGUAAACGGUCAUGUUUAGGCCUAGAGUAAGAAGAACACGUGGGUUUGUUUACAAAUUUUAAGUUGAAUCAAACUUGUAUAUUUUGGUUCGAACACCCAUCGACCGUGUUAUAAUACGAAACCAUAUCGACGAAUUUAUGCUAAUAUGUCGAAAUAUCACGUCGGAGAUAAUGAAAAUCGAUGUCAUAGGUCGCAAUCGGAAUUGUUUUUCCGUCCGGUUCGGUCGCCUCGCACCCGUGACGUCAUCUCACGCGCUCCUUGAUUCCACUCAAACUCCAUUUUAGCUUUGGAAUCGCCGGUUGGCAAAGGACAAAGACAAAGUGGCCUUUUCGGAGAAACGGAUUCUAGAUCGACAUUUGCCUCUGACCUAUGACACAAUCAUUCCCAAGAAGAUCACUUUAAUUUAUUGACUGAUAUUUUGUGAAAAAAGAAGUUUCAAAGUUUUCAUUAUCAUUAAUGAUAGGUAAGAAUUUUUAAAGUAUUUAUAUUUUAUAUGUUAAAUUUAUGUUUUAUUUAAUUAAAAAAUUUAUUCAGUAAAAUUUGGACUGUGGAGGUGGUAUACCAGGCUCUAUACUCCAACUCAGAAUUUCACAAGAUUAACUUUGACUCCAACUCUUGCAUCUAAAUAAUAAUAAUUUAAAACAUACUUUGAGUAUAUUAACCCAGAAUGGUAUUUCAUCACUACCAAGUAAAUCAUCAGGCAUUUCUAUUUUUUAAACUUUUAGUGCCCAUAAGGUAGAAAGAGGGACUUUUUAUCAAGCCUGUUAUGGGAUUGACCAGGCUUGCAGUAGGAUGGUUGGGUGGUGAGGGACAGAGCCUGCCAUAUCUUGAUGGACUACCUAUGAAAAAAUUUCCUGGGGUUUAUUUUACUCAUCCAAAUUUUGAUUUUGGGUCACAAAAGCAGCAGGCUGACACUAUAACAGCUUCUCCAUUCAGCCAUGACAUUACUAUUGAACCCACUGAAAGUUUUCAUUUUUUUUUCAUACUGUUUUUCAUUAUCACCAUGAUGAUGAUCAUCAUAAACAACACAUUGACACACACCUUGUUUUCUAUCUGUGAUAAAGUAUUUGAAAAAUAGUGAUUCUGUCUUUUCUGAGUUUUCUUAACUAUUUUGUAUGGGUCUUUUGACAAUAAAAAUUUAGAAUUAGCUGACAGACAGAAUAUACUCAAAUAUAAAUUUCUAAAAACAAAAUCAUCAUUAAUUAAUAAUAUGCAAACCAAGAUCACGGUGUAGGAGAAUCCUCAUAAAAGGUCUUUCAUUACAGGAGACUUCUAUAAUGUAGGAUAGGAUGUUAUUAGGAGCUUUAAUCUGAACCAAUAAAGUACAAAUAAACAUAUAAAGUACAUAAUAAAAAAGUAGGAAUUGGAGUCUGUUCAUUUUUAUCAACUUCAGCUUUACAAUGUAAGAAGAAACAAAUUUUCUUCUGAGUCCAACUUCACAGCUCUGAGUAAAACUUAAGAUUUAAUAAUAAAAUAAUAAACUGUAUUUAAAAAUUGUUAUUAAUUGGUUCACAGAGAUAUACUGUGUGACUGUUAUUGUCAUCAAGUAAUAUCAAGUAGAACUAAAUGAAAACUGUAUUAUUUUGCAAAAAAAUAUGUUUGAAUUUGAAAAAUUGAAUUUGAAUGGUAGCAUAUCUAAGAUAAACAAAAGUCAAAUGGUUAACUGAGGUUAUAAUAUUCUGGUACCAAAUAUAAAUACAGUAGAGCGUCGUUUAUCCGAAAGUCGGUUAUCCAAAAGAAUUCCAGUCGGACUAAA